Molecule: ribosomal RNA, 437 nt
Filed under: uncultured bacterium
Lineage: Bacteria
Description: partial 16S ribosomal RNA
Rfam family: Bacterial small subunit ribosomal RNA
Source: RNAcentral
AGCGAACGCUGGCGGCAGGCUUAACACAUGCAAGUCGAGCGGGCACCUUUCGGGGUGUCAGCGGCGGACGGGUGAGUAACGCGUGGGAACGUGCCCUCUGGUUCGGAAUAACUCAGGGAAACUUGAGCUAAUACCGGAUACGCCCUUUUGGGGAAAGGCUUGCUGCCGGAGGAUCGGCCCGCGUCUGAUUAGCUAGUUGGUGAGGUAACGGCUCACCAAGGCGACGAUCAGUAGCUGGUCUGAGAGGAUGAUCAGCCACACUGGGACUGAGACACGGCCCAGACUCCUACGGGAAGCAGCAGUGGGGAAUAUUGGACAAUGGGCGCAAGCCUGAUCCAGCCAUGCCGCGUGAGUGAUGAAGGCCUUAGGGUUGUAAAGCUCUUUUAUCCGGGACGAUAAUGACGGUACCGGAGGAAUAAGCCCCGGCUAACUUCGUG